CUGCUCCACACGGCUCUGCGGCAGCACGCGCUCAGUCGGGCUGAGCAUGUGACCCAAGCCGGCCAAUCUGAGUGUUUCUCACCAGGACCUUAGUGAUUGGGCGGACGGGGACACGUGACCCUAGCCGGCCAAUCCGAGAAUUCCCUGCCCCGGACUUCUGGGUGGGGCAGGGACACGUGACCCGAGCCGGCCAAUCCGAGCGAGAGGCCUGUCAGGUUCUCGCAGGAGACGCGGCAACGGCGGUCGUGUCGUCUCUCCGUGGGUCCCUCCCGUGUGGGGGGGGGGGGGGGAGAGGAGCCCGGCGCCGGCGCAGAGCAGCAGCGGGAGUCCCCCGGGCCGGCCAGGCCUCCGGCCGGUCACCCCGGACCUGGACGUGCCGGCCGGGGCGGCAGGAGGUCCGUGUGCACGUGCGGGGCUGUGUGCGGUGCCGGGGCCGGUGACCUCUGUGGUCGCGGGCUGGGACAGCCGGUGACGGAGGCCGGCCGCCGCACCGUUGGGGCCUCUCGGAGCCGGUGACGUUGGCGCCGCGUCUGCAGCAGCAGCAGCAGCAGCAGCAGCAGCAGCAGCAGCAGGAGUUUGGCCGACUCCGGUGAAGCCAGCGGGAAGCGCCAGCACCGAGCCCGGAGAAUCCACCGCGUCCAGAAAAAUACCGUUGGGACCGAUCCGAGGGCAGCUGUGUUUGCAAGCUAAACUAAACCAGUGACCCGUUCUCCCCACGGCUUGUGUGCUCGUCUUGGGAAAGACCUCGUCUCUCACCUUGCCCUCGCCCCACAGGGUGCAGUUCUCUUCACGAAGCCACUCGGUCCUUUUGUUCCCGCUCUACUGGGGCUCGAUAAACGGGGCACGUUGCAGGCGUACGUUUCGGUCAGCCUGCCGCGCACUCGCCCACGAAGCCGUCAGCAGUUAGGACAGUGAACACACGCGGUCACCGGGAAGCUGCCUCCUGCCUCGUCCCCGCCUCCAGCUGACCGCCGACCUGCCUUCUUUGCGGAUCGUCCGUGUUUUCUGGGGUUUUGUAAGCGGAAUCCUGCCGUGCCCUCUCUUCCUUCCCUCUGGCUUGAACCCCCCUCCGUGGCCUCCGGUCUCCGUGCUCGGCCGAAUCGUACUCCAUCCCGUGGACACAACUGGUUCAUCCACUCACCUGUUGGUGAACGCUCAGGUUGUUUCUAGUUCGGGGCGAUGGCAAAUAAAGCAGGUGUGAACAUUCACCUGUGAGUCAUUGUAAAGCCACGGUUUUGCAUUUUUCUCGGGUACAGACUGAAGGGGGGUGGAGUGGCGGGAUUUUAUGGCAGGUGUACGUUUAACGUUCUUCGUAAUUAGAGUUUUUACUGAGGUGAUUAUAGGUCCACACGCCGUUUUAAGAAAUAACGGAGAGAUCCUGUGUGUUUUUACCCACUUUCCUCCCGUGGUGACGUUCUGUAAAGCUGAACUGUGACAUCACGGUCAGGACGCCGACACGGAUUCGGUCCGCGUGUCGGGUCUCCCACGGCUGCCCGUACCGAUCUGUGCGUGUGCGUGUCACGCGUGCAGACUCGCCCGUCCAGCACCCCGGUGGCCAGCCCGGAUGUGGUGUGUCCGUCCCAGAGACGACCCCCUGCUGCUCCGGCCACACGCCCCCCCUCGUGCCCUCGCCCCCGUUCGUGACCCCGCGCCAUCACCCACCGGCUCUUGAUUUCUGAAGUCUUGUCACUUGCGAGUGUUGUACGAGUGGUUCCGCACAGCACGCGCCCUCGGGGCCCGGCUCCUUCCCCGGGGAGCCCUCUAGGCGCCGCG
Long non-coding RNA from Panthera uncia (snow leopard), 1773 nucleotides. RefSeq lists it as uncharacterized. The transcript has 3 exons. The record is from RefSeq and is a predicted model, not a curated record. Lineage: Eukaryota; Metazoa; Chordata; Mammalia; Carnivora; Felidae.